UGUAUGUAUUAAUCUACUUAAUUGAAAGGCUGUCAGAUCUUCCACCUGCUGGUUCACUCCUCAAAAGGCUGCAACAGCCAGGGCUGGGCCACGCUGAAGCCAGGAGCCAGGAGGAACUCCAUCUGGGUCUCCCACGUGGGUGGCAGGGGUCCCAAGCACUUGGGCCAUCUGCUUUCCUAGGUGCAUUAGCAGGGAGCUGCAUUGGAAGUGGAGAAGCUGGGUCUCGAACCAGCACUCUGAUACGGGGUGCCAGCAUGACAAGUGGCCGCUCAACCCACCCCAGCACUGGCCCCAGCCUAGGUAUUCUUGCAGUUCUGUCUAAUGCUCUGAGUGGCGUUCCGUGACCACGGACGUGGCAUUCCUGAGUCGUCUGCGUCUCAGGGAUUCCCAAUCUGGUUAAAAUGAUGCCUCUCUCUCAGAAUAAAUGACAGCUCGCCACUUAGAAGCAUUCAGCAGAUUUUUAUAAAAGAUUUUGCCUAUUUAUUUAAGGGCUGAGUUGGAGAGAGAGAGAUACCUGCCAUCUGCUGGUUCACUCCCCACAUGGUUGAAACAGCCAGGGCUGGGCUCACUGGAAGCCUGGAGCCUCAUCCAGGUCUCCCACGUGGGUGCAGGGGCCCAAGCGCUUGAGCCGUCCUCCGCUGCUCCCCCAGGCCAUUAGCAGGGAGCUGGAUCCGAAGUGGAGCAGCCCGGGCAGGAACCGGUACCCAUUUGGGAUGCUGGUCCCACAGGUGGCGGCUUUACUCACUACACCAUGGCGCCGGCCCCAGCAGACUUCUUUUUAAAAAAACCAAGUUACUCCAGUGGGAUGUCAGGAUUUUCUGUGGCUCCCACCGGUGUCUGCCUCUGCCCCUGGGGACACAGCUGUUGGGCCUCAUCCGUUCUUCUCGGCUCUUGGCUGUUACCACACCUGACCCGGGCGGGGCUGGGCUGGCAGUGUUCUGAGCACCUGGGAAUGAGGGUGUAGGACCCAGUGCGGCACAGGGAAGGAGAGGGCGGGAGGGGCCCGCGGCUUCCAGGCCGUCCUUGUCUGCCUGCUCUCUCUGUGUUCCCAAGCUCCGCUGAGAGCAGCCCGAGGUGCGGGUGUGGCUCUGGCUGCGUUAGUCCUGUGCUCCCAGCCUUCGGCUGUGCUCGGUGAGAUGAGGGGUGCCCGAGCAGGUUCAGUGAGCACCUUGGCUGAGGUCACCUUGGGCUGGCAGAGAAGGGCACCUGCCCUCCUGUGGCAAAGACGGGAAAUGGCUUUUGUGUCGCUCCUGGGGUAGCGCUCGCUCGGUGCGGCAGGCGCUGCUCUGAUUGGACGAGGCCAGGCCUGGAGCAGCGUCUGCGAUCGCGGCAGUGGGGAAGGGAGUGUUGCUAGGGGCAGGCGGCAGAGCCAGGAAGUUAAGUGUUUUGUCUCCCGCCACCCUCCUCCUCGCAGAUUCCGGGGAGGGGACUUCUGUGGACUGCUAGCUGACAACGGAAAACGCGUUUCAAGUCGAGUUUUAUCCUCAGCGGAUGCUUCUUGUGGACUGCGACUUAAAUAAAUGUCAGUUUCCUGACCUUCGGGUUGCUCCGUCCUUUUAAUUAAAAGGCGGUUCUAAGCAGCAUCCAGGAGGGGUCUAUUUAUUAUUUAUCAAGCAUUUUCCUUCCAGCAGUUAGCGAAAGGUCAGCGGCUUCGGUGGAUGCUUUGUUUUUGGUGAGCAGCUCAGAUGAAAAAGAUACUCGAUCCAUCUGGGCUCCCGCCCGCUGCCCGCGGCCAGGACACUGUUUAAUAGUCACUGUGGCAUUUAGAACCGCCGGCCUGGGAAACACGCAGCAAAGUGCGUGUGUCUCCCUUGCUGCCCAGCAUUUCUCCCAAAGUAAACAUCAGGUUGUGAUCAUGGUUAAUAAUGAGCUAUUGAUUGUCUGAAAUGUCACCGCCCGGGACGCAAAGGGACGCGGCACCGCUAGAUGGCGCUGCACCCCCGCGCUGCCCCACGCCGCGCGUUCCGUCCCCGCGCCUCGGGGCACCUUGCCUUUCAAGGUGGGGUUCCUUUAACAAAGACCUCUGCUGUGACUUCCUCGGUAAAGCCUGUGGUGUGUUCGGAUGCAAUGAGCAGAAUGCCGGAUGAGAGUCUGAGCAAGCAAGACAUUCAAUCAAGAAAUAGACUGGAGGCUGUGGCCACUUGGAGAGUUAACCAGUGGAUGAAAGAUCUCUCUCUGUCUCUCUCCCUCUCUCUCUCUCUGUCUCCUCCUCUUUCCUUAUAACUCUGACUUUCAAAUUAAUAAACAAAUAAACCUUUAAAAAGAAUGAAAGCCGCUUGAUCACCCUAACUCCAGUCCCUCAGGACUUCUGAGUUAGAAUCUCUUGGAUGAGAUCAGACCUUAGCAGUGACGUGGUAACCAUCUGCAGGGAUGACGCCAAUGCGUGCCAAAGUUUCCACUGGGUGCACGCUCCUGUGAAGCCAAAAGGGGGGUUCAAGGUGGAGGCCUCGAGGUGGAACUCACGUUCCGUCGCGCCCCAGGGUCAGGCAAU
Molecule: non-coding RNA, 2491 nt
Organism: Oryctolagus cuniculus (rabbit)
Lineage: Eukaryota; Metazoa; Chordata; Mammalia; Lagomorpha; Leporidae
Source: RefSeq, a predicted model, not a curated record